Long non-coding RNA from Lontra canadensis (Northern American river otter), 255 nucleotides. RefSeq lists it as uncharacterized. The record is from RefSeq and is a predicted model, not a curated record. The transcript has 3 exons. NCBI's taxonomy places the organism in Eukaryota, Metazoa, Chordata, Mammalia, Carnivora, Mustelidae.
GCCACACCAUAUUCCUGUCAGGAUGUGUCCCUUGGAUGUCACUGGGUCCCUUCAGAGGCCUGGGGACUCCUCCCCACCUUUCCAGAUACUUUAAAGAAAUGAUACCCAAGCAUACAGCAAAUACUUUUUAAAGGACACAGAAAGUAACUGCACAUUACAACUACUCAACAUUAACAAGAUGUUUCAACAGCACUUUCAUUAUUAAGAGGUAUCUUCAAGGAAUGCCCUCACAGCGUUCGGCUUUGGCAGAGAUGC